AACACAUGCAAGUCGAGGGGCAGCAUAAAAGUAGCAAUACUUGGUGGCGACCGGCGCACGGGUGAGUAACGCGUAUGCAACCUACCUAUCAGAGGGGAAUAACCCGGCGAAAGUCGGACUAAUACCGCAUAAAACAGGGACACCGCAUGGUGAUAUUUGUUAAAGAAAUUCGCUGAUAGAUGGGCAUGCGUUCCAUUAGGUAGUUGGUGAGGUAACGGCUCACCAAGCCGACGAUGGAUAGGGGAACUGAGAGGUUGGUCCCCCACACUGGUACUGAGACACGGACCAGACUCCUACGGGAGGCAGCAGUGAGGAAUAUUGGUCAAUGGGCGAGAGCCUGAACCAGCCAAGUCGCGUGAAGGAAGAAGGAUCUAUGGUUCGUAAACUUCUUUUGCAGGGGAAUAAAGUGCAGGACGUGUCCUGUUUUGUAUGUACCCUGAGAAUAAGGAUCGGCUAACUCCGUGCCAGCCGCGGC
Molecule: ribosomal RNA, 475 nt
Filed under: uncultured bacterium
Lineage: Bacteria
Description: bacterial SSU rRNA
Rfam family: Bacterial small subunit ribosomal RNA
Source: RNAcentral